RNAcentral lists this ribosomal RNA (166 nucleotides) under uncultured bacterium. Its description in RNAcentral is "partial 16S rRNA". It matches the Rfam family "Bacterial small subunit ribosomal RNA", at positions 355 to 511 of the family's 1533-position model. The record is from RNAcentral.
UAGGGAAUCUUCGGCAAUGGACGAAAGUCUGACCGAGCAACGCCGCGUGAGUGAAGAAGGUUUUCGGAUACGUAAAACUCUGUUGGUAGAGAAGAACGUUGGUGAGAGUGGAAAGCUCAUCAAGUGACGGUAACUACCCAGAAAGGGACGGCUAACUACGUGCCAC